UCCAUUUUGCAACUUGUUCCAAAGCCCUAUUGUGAAGGCUCAAGAUGUCAGCAGGUGCUGCUGUUAGUUGGCUGGCUAGCCAGCAGGGAACAGGAAGGACCUCUUUCAGCUAUAACAGGCACGAACCCCAACUGUCCAUGGGAUGGACCCCGACUGUCCCACAGAAAGAACCCCGACUAUGACGAGGAUGGUUCUGGAAUCCUGGAGAGAACCAAUGAAGACUGGAGACACUGAACCACAGGAACACUGGAAUGCUGGAACAGGACGUGAUGAUCACCAGAACAAGAUGGAGACUAGAGGAGAAACAUACCAAAACAAGAUUUUACCCCAACAGAGGUACUUUUUUGCACCUACAGAUGCAGUUGCAGAUGCAUUUAUUAUCACUUAGACA
Molecule: long non-coding RNA, 391 nt
Organism: Mauremys mutica (yellowpond turtle)
Lineage: Eukaryota; Metazoa; Chordata; Testudines; Geoemydidae
Exons: 3
Source: RefSeq, a predicted model, not a curated record